AAACAUGACUUUGAUCUGCGUCCUCAUCUGGACUCUCCUCUGCUGCUGCUUCACAGAGUCCAGAGGCCAGGUCACAGUGACUCAGCCUGGAGCAGUGAGCUCUGCUCUGGGAGGCUCCGUCUCCAUCAGAUGUACGACCAGUCAGGAUGUUUAUGUUUGGAGCAACAACCACUGUUUAGCCUGGUACCAACAGAGAGAUGGAGAAAUUCCUAAACUGCUCAUUUACUAUGCUAGCACUCGAGCAUCAGGGAUUCCAGGUCGUUUUACAGGCAGUGGAUCAAACUCUGACUUCACUCUGACCAUCGUUUUUGUACGGCGGCUCAAUGAGUUUGUAUCACUGUUGUGGACUUUUGGUGGAGGAACCAGACUGGAUGUUGGAAGUGAUGUCCGUCCCACCCUGACGGUGCUGCCCCCCUCCAGUGAGGAGCUGCAGCAGGGGAAGGCCACGCUCAUGUGCCUGGCCAACAAGGGCUUCCCCUCAGACGGGAGUCUGGCCUGGAAGGUGGACGGCAGCAGCAGCAGCAGCAGCUGGGAGGAGAGCAGGAGCCCCGGGGUGCUGGAGAAGGACGGCCGCUACAGCUGGAGCAGCACCCUGAGGCUCCCUGCAGACCAGUGGAGGAAGGUGGGCUCUGUGACCUGUGAGGCCACCCAGGGCUCCCAGGCUCUGGUCUCAGAGACACUGAGGAGAGACCAGUGUUCCCAGUCCUGAUCUGACUCACUGGGACUCUGUUACUGGUUUUACUCUGCUACUGCUCUCAGUCU
Micropterus dolomieu (smallmouth bass) is the source of this 762-nucleotide non-coding RNA. Lineage: Eukaryota; Metazoa; Chordata; Actinopteri; Centrarchiformes; Centrarchidae. The record is from the annotation of a RefSeq genome assembly.